RNAcentral lists this long non-coding RNA (234 nucleotides) under Homo sapiens (human). RNAcentral's name for it is "HSALNT0116023". Lineage: Eukaryota; Metazoa; Chordata; Mammalia; Primates; Hominidae. The record is from RNAcentral.
UUUAAAAUUUGAAACAAAUAAAUCAGUUAAUCCAAUAUUAUAUUUCAUAACUUGUGUUGCUUGCAACUAUGUUGUAUGUACAGCCUACCAGAGAUGGAUGAUGAAUUGCAGCUCUAACUUGAAAGUCCCCACUUUGGACUGUGUCUUGGAUUGAGAGAUUGCUCGGACCUGGAUGCUUCUGUGGCUACCUGCACUUAGCAUCACUUGACAUCAUCUCACCAUAUCCAUAAGUCA